RNAcentral lists this ribosomal RNA (253 nucleotides) under uncultured bacterium. RNAcentral's name for it is "partial 16S ribosomal RNA". It matches the Rfam family "Bacterial small subunit ribosomal RNA", at positions 524 to 776 of the family's 1533-position model. The record is from RNAcentral.
UACAGAGGUCUCAAGCGUUGUUCGGAUUCAUUGGGCGUAAAGGGUGCGUAGGUGGCGCUGUAAGUCGGGUGUGAAAUUUCGGAGCUUAACUCCGAAACUGCAUUCGAUACUGCGGUGCUUGAGGACUGGAGAGGAGACUGGAAUUCAUGGUGUAGCAGUGAAAUGCGUAGAGAUCAUGAGGAAGACCAGUGGCGAAGGCGGGUCACUGGACCGGAACUGACGCUGAGGCGCGAAAGCGUGGGGAGCAAACAGG